UCACUGCUGACGAGUCCCAUACAGGACGAAGCAGCUGUCAAGUGC
Molecule: non-coding RNA, 45 nt
Organism: Echinostoma caproni
Lineage: Eukaryota; Metazoa; Platyhelminthes; Trematoda; Plagiorchiida; Echinostomatidae
Source: Rfam